AGUGAACGCUGGCGGUAGGCCUAACACAUGCAAGUCGAACGGCAGCACAGUAAGAGCUUGCUCUUACGGGUGGCGAGUGGCGGACGGGUGAGGAAUACAUCGGAAUCUACUUUUUCGUGGGGGAUAACGUAGGGAAACUUACGCUAAUACCGCAUACGACCUACGGGUGAAAGCAGGGGAUCUUCGGACCUUGCGCGAUUGAAUGAGCCGAUGUCGGAUUAGCUAGUUGGCGGGGUAAAGGCCCACCAAGGCGACGAUCCGUAGCUGGUCUGAGAGGAUGAUCAGCCACACUGGAACUGAGACACGGUCCAGACUCCUACGGGAGGCAGCAGUGGGGAAUAUUGGACAAUGGGCGCAAGCCUGAUCCAGCCAUACCGCGUGGGUGAAGAAGGCCUUCGGGUUGUAAAACCCUUUUGUUGGGAAAGAAAAGCAGCAGGUUAAUACCCCGCUGCUCUGACGGUACCCAAAGAAUAAGCACCGGCUAACUUCGUG
RNAcentral lists this ribosomal RNA (492 nucleotides) under uncultured bacterium. Its description in RNAcentral is "partial 16S ribosomal RNA". It matches the Rfam family "Bacterial small subunit ribosomal RNA", at positions 29 to 507 of the family's 1533-position model. The record is from RNAcentral.